GAGUUUGAUCAUGGCUCAGGAUAAACGCUAGUGCUUUGCAUAACACAUGUAAGUUGAACGAAAACUAAAACAAGUUACAGUGGCGGACGGGUGAAAAACGCGCGAAAAUCUACUUUUAGGGAGAAAAAAAACAAAAGGAAACGACUGCUAAGACUUCCUAGACCGCGAGGCGAAAAAAAAAUGAGAUUUGCCUUGAAAUGAGUUUGCGUCUGAUUAGCUUGUUGGAAUGGUAGCAGCAAACCAAGGCGAUAAUCAGUAGCUGGUCCGAGAGGGCGAUCAGCCACACUGGGACUGAGAUACGGCCCAGACUCCUGCGGGAGGCUGCAGUGAGGAAUAUUCCACAAUGGGCGAAAGCCUGAUGGAGCAAAAGUCCGUGGUGGAAUGACGGCCUGUGGGUUGUAAACACCUUUUUUCUGAACUUUUAAAGACAUACGACGAUAUUAGAAGAAUAAGCAUCGGCUAACUCUGUGCCAGCAGCCGCGGUAAUGCAGAGGAUGCAAGCGUAUCCAGAUUGAUUGGGCGUAAAGUGUCUCGAGGUGGACUUACCAAGUCUUGUGUUAAACCCUUUUAAGGCUCAACUUUAGCUCUGCAUAAGAAACUCGAAGAAUCGAAGCGAUAGGAGAGGCAACAAUUUUCGGUGUAGCAGUGAAAUGUGUAGAUAUCGGAAGGAAUACCGGAAGCGAAGGCGUGCCUCUUGGUCGUUAUUUACACUAAAAGACGAAAGUUAGGGUAGCAAAUGGGAUUAGAUACCCCAGUAGUCCUUGCCGUAAACGAUGAAAACUGGGUCUUACUAUUUAUGCUUAAUUCUACGCUAUGUAACUGGAGGAUUGAAGUUAACGCGUCAAGUUUUCCGCCUGGGAAGUACGUUCGCAAGAGUGAAACUCAAAAGGAAUUGACGGGGGCCUGCACAAGCGGUGGAGCAUGUGGUUUAAUUCGAUGCAACGCGAAGAACCUUACCAUGGUUUGCAUGCCUCUAAACAAUAGUGUCUGUGAAAUCAGGCUUAAAGGCGCAGGUGGUGCAUGGCUGUCGUCAGCUCGUGUCGUGAGAUGUUGGGUUAAGUUCCGCAACGGGCGCAACCCUUAUGUCUUGUUGUGAUUUCAGAUCUGGAGAAACUGCUGGUUAAAAACCAGAGGAAGGUGAGGAUGACGUCAAGUCAAUAUGCCCUAUAUACCUUGGGCGACACACGUGCUACAAUGAUUAAGACAGACCGUAACUAUUUUGCGAAGAAACGUUGAUCGGUAAAUUUGAUCUCAGUUCGGAUUCGUCUCUGAAACUCGAGGUGAUGAAGGCGGAAUCGCUAGUAAUCGCUGGUCAGCUAUACGGCGGUGAAUACGUUCCCAGGCCUUGUACACACCGCCCGUCACACCACGGAAAUUAGUUAUGCCCCAAGUCAUUCUUUUUUUUUUACAAAGAGUGCCAAAGGUAAAGCUAGUAACUGGGGUGAAGUCGUAACAAGGUAACC
RNAcentral lists this ribosomal RNA (1463 nucleotides) under uncultured marine eukaryote. Its description in RNAcentral is "bacterial SSU rRNA". It matches the Rfam family "Bacterial small subunit ribosomal RNA". The record is from RNAcentral.